GACGAACGCUGGCGGCGUGCUUAACACAUGCAAGUCGAACGGAAAGGCCCUGCUUUUGUGGGGUGCUCGAGUGGCGAACGGGUGAGUAACACGUGAGUAACCUGCCCUUGACUUUGGGAUAACUUCAGGAAACUGGGGCUAAUACCGGAUAGGAGCUCCUGCUGCAUGGUGGGGGUUGGAAAGUUUCGGCGGUUGGGGAUGGACUCGCGGCUUAUCAGCUUGUUGGUGGGGUAGUGGCUUACCAAGGCUUUGACGGGUAGCCGGCCUGAGAGGGUGACCGGCCACAAUGGGACUGAGAUAGGGCCCAGACUCCAACGGGAGGCAGCAGUGGGGAAUAUUGCACAAUGGGCGGAAGCCUGAUGCAGCAACGCCGCGUGCGGGAUGACGGCCUUCGGGUUGUAAACCGCUUUCGCCUGUGACGAAGCGUGAGUGACGGUAAUGGGUAAAGAAGCACCGGCUAACUACGUG
This 468-nucleotide ribosomal RNA is filed under the name uncultured bacterium. RNAcentral's name for it is "partial 16S ribosomal RNA". It matches the Rfam family "Bacterial small subunit ribosomal RNA", at positions 28 to 507 of the family's 1533-position model. The record is from RNAcentral.